Paramuricea clavata is the source of this 265-nucleotide non-coding RNA. The record is from the annotation of a GenBank genome assembly. Lineage: Eukaryota; Metazoa; Cnidaria; Anthozoa; Malacalcyonacea; Plexauridae.
ACGCAAAAAUGUGCAAAAUAUAAAUUGCUGAUUCAGCACAACGUGUGACGUCAUUGGUAGGGUAAGUAUGUUUAAUGAAUACUAAACUGAAGCAUAGCUCAGUUAUUAUGGGACCAAAUCAAAUGAAAUUUUGGAUACUGAUUGUACAUGAUGAGACGCAUUGAAAAACACUUCUAAUUUUGUUGCUAAGGUAACAAUGUCGUUCCCAGGCCCCUUGCGCCAAUUUUAUAAAACAGCUUUAUUCAUGGUACUUAUAAGAAUAAAA